UCUAAUAUGGCAGAGGUAUGCGGUGAGCUUAAAAUUCACUCACAAAUAAUUUUAUUUUUUUAGAA
This 65-nucleotide transfer RNA is filed under the name Alnetoidia dujuanensis. RNAcentral describes it as "tRNA-Leu". The record is from RNAcentral. Lineage: Eukaryota; Metazoa; Arthropoda; Insecta; Hemiptera; Cicadellidae.